RNAcentral lists this non-coding RNA (50 nucleotides) under Fragilariopsis kerguelensis. Lineage: Eukaryota; Bacillariophyta; Bacillariophyceae; Bacillariales; Bacillariaceae. The record is from RNAcentral.
GGUGAGGAAGGUAGCAGCAGUCAUAGUAUUCGGUGUUGCUGCUGUUUGCC